RNAcentral lists this ribosomal RNA (663 nucleotides) under Raoultella sp. RNAcentral's name for it is "bacterial SSU rRNA". It matches the Rfam family "Bacterial small subunit ribosomal RNA", at positions 85 to 744 of the family's 1533-position model. The record is from RNAcentral. Lineage: Bacteria; Pseudomonadati; Pseudomonadota; Gammaproteobacteria; Enterobacterales; Enterobacteriaceae.
CGGGUGACGAGCGGCGGACGGGUGAGUAAUGUCUGGGAAACUGCCUGAUGGAGGGGGAUAACUACUGGAAACGGUAGCUAAUACCGCAUAACGUCGCAAGACCAAAGUGGGGGACCUUCGGGCCUCAUGCCAUCAGAUGUGCCCAGAUGGGAUUAGCUAGUAGGUGGGGUAAUGGCUCACCUAGGCGACGAUCCCUAGCUGGUCUGAGAGGAUGACCAGCCACACUGGAACUGAGACACGGUCCAGACUCCUACGGGAGGCAGCAGUGGGGAAUAUUGCACAAUGGGCGCAAGCCUGAUGCAGCCAUGCCGCGUGUAUGAAGAAGGCCUUCGGGUUGUAAAGUACUUUCAGCGAGGAGGAAGGCAUUAAGGUUAAUAACCUUAGUGAUUGACGUUACUCGCAGAAGAAGCACCGGCUAACUCCGUGCCAGCAGCCGCGGUAAUACGGAGGGUGCAAGCGUUAAUCGGAAUUACUGGGCGUAAAGCGCACGCAGGCGGUUUGUUAAGUCAGAUGUGAAAUCCCCGGGCUCAACCUGGGAACUGCAUUUGAAACUGGCAAGCUUGAGUCUUGUAGAGGGGGGUAGAAUUCCAGGUGUAGCGGUGAAAUGCGUAGAGAUCUGGAGGAAUACCGGUGGCGAAGGCGGCCCCCUGGACAAAGACUGAC